UAGGGAAUCUUCGGCAAUGGACGAAAGUCUGACCGAGCAACGCCGCGUGAGUGAAGAAGGUUUUCGGAUCGUAAAACUCUGUUGUUAGAGAAGAACAAGGACGUUAGUAACUGAACGUCCCCUGACGGUAUCUAACCAGAAAGCCACGGCUAACCACUUGCCAGCAGCCGCGGUAAUACGUAGGUGGCAAGCGUUGUCCGGAUUUAUUGGGCGUAAAGCGAGCGCAGGCGGUUUCUUAAGUCUGAUGUGAAAGCCCCCGGCUCAACCGGGGAGGGUCAUUGGAAACUGGGAGACUUGAGUGCAGAAGAGGAGAGUGGAAUUCCAUGUGUAGCGGUGAAAUGCGUAGAUAUAUGGAGGAACACCAGUGGCGAAGGCGGCUCUCUGGUCUGUAACUGACGCUGAGGCUCGAAAGCGUGGGGAGCAAACAGG
Molecule: ribosomal RNA, 429 nt
Filed under: Gemmatimonadota bacterium
Lineage: Bacteria; Pseudomonadati; Gemmatimonadota
Description: Gemmatimonadetes bacterium partial 16S ribosomal RNA
Rfam family: Bacterial small subunit ribosomal RNA
Source: RNAcentral